GGGGCAUUAGCUCAGUUGGCUAGAGCGCAACACUGGCAGUGUUGAGGUCAAGGGUUCGACUCCCUUAUGCUCCACCA
This 77-nucleotide transfer RNA is filed under the name Victivallales bacterium. RNAcentral's name for it is "tRNA-Ala". It matches the Rfam family "tRNA". From Rfam's summary of the family: Transfer RNA (tRNA) molecules are approximately 80 nucleotides in length. Their secondary structure includes four short double-helical elements and three loops (D, anti-codon, and T loops). The record is from RNAcentral. Lineage: Bacteria; Pseudomonadati; Lentisphaerota; Lentisphaeria; Victivallales.